Acipenser ruthenus (sterlet) is the source of this 920-nucleotide long non-coding RNA. RefSeq lists it as uncharacterized. The transcript is spliced from 3 exons. The record is from RefSeq and is a predicted model, not a curated record. NCBI's taxonomy places the organism in Eukaryota, Metazoa, Chordata, Actinopteri, Acipenseriformes, Acipenseridae.
GUAACGAGUCCGGCUGCAACACAGGCACACGGACACAGUACCGGUACAUGCACACAACAGCGCUCACACGGCUAGCACGACACCGUUUCGGGUGGAAAGGCUAGUUCCGUGUCAGGCUUUAGUUCAAAGAACCUGAGAGCGGAUGUCAGCGAGCUACCGGCCUCUGGAGGACACAGGUCAGCCCUGCAGGUGUCCGCCUGAGCUCACUAGCCACGUGGCUGGCAGGGUCUGCUGUAGCGAGAUGAGGAGAAGCAGUCCCUGCUGGUUUUGACUCCCUAACCCGCGGGAGUGCCAGAGCGUAUUGUGAAAAGCACAUUGUGAAAGUUGUUCCAGCGCCGUCUGGCUCGCCGCUGCACACCGCUCUAUCGGACUGCACAGAGAGGGCCUUUGCCGCUUGGAUUGUUAAACAAACGGGUUGCAACUGUAACAGAGUCCAGACUGCGCUUCCCAGCGGGGGCUGGCCUCUGUCAUCACGGCUUCAGUCUGUUACGCUUGCAAAAUGUGGAAAAAGACUUUGUAUGCAAACAUGUGCCUGGAUGGGACCGUUUCAGUUUCUUUACAGUUCCUGGAGAGUCGUAGCAGGAAUGCUCCUUUCAGUAAUGGUGUUCUUCUGCCUCCCCUUCUCAGAGUUGAAAAGCCUCGUUUCUCUACCACGCUGUUCGGAAGUCCUCCCUACUCGUCUCAUUGAAUGAGCUCUGUUUAGACACUAGUCUCUUUCCAUUGAACUUUUCUAAUUAUUGCUUCAGCCAUUCCAACAAAGCAUGAUAUUUGCAACUCACAGACUGGAAGAUAUAUUGAUUGAUUGAUUUUGUAGUUCAAUCACAGACUGGAAGAUAUAUUGAUUGAUUGAUUUUGUAGUUCAAUCACAGACUGGAAGAUGUAUUGGUUGAUUGAUUGAUUGAUUUUGUAGUUCAAUCACA